RNAcentral lists this ribosomal RNA (225 nucleotides) under uncultured Candidatus Saccharibacteria bacterium. Its description in RNAcentral is "partial 16S ribosomal RNA". It matches the Rfam family "Bacterial small subunit ribosomal RNA", at positions 584 to 818 of the family's 1533-position model. Lineage: Bacteria; Candidatus Saccharimonadota. The record is from RNAcentral.
UAGGUAGUGAAUCCUGGGCUCAACCCUUAACAUUAUUAAACUGCUAAGCUAGAAUAUGGAAGAGGUCGCUGGAAUUCCUGUGUAGGAGUGAAAUCCGUAGAUAUAAGGAGGAACACCGAUGGCGUAGGCAGGCGACUGGUCUAUUAUUGACACUAAGGCACGAAAGCGUGGGUAGCAAACGGGAUUAGAUACCCCGGUAGUCCACGCCGUAAACUAUGGAUGCUA